RNAcentral lists this ribosomal RNA (479 nucleotides) under Veillonella dispar. RNAcentral describes it as "bacterial SSU rRNA". It matches the Rfam family "Bacterial small subunit ribosomal RNA", at positions 366 to 838 of the family's 1533-position model. The record is from RNAcentral. Lineage: Bacteria; Bacillati; Bacillota; Negativicutes; Veillonellales; Veillonellaceae.
CCGCAAUGGACGAAAGUCUGACGGAGCAACGCCGCGUGAGUGAUGACGGCCUUCGGGUUGUAAAGCUCUGUUAAUCGGGACGAAAGGCCUUCUUGCGAAUAGUUAGAAGGAUUGACGGUACCGGAAUAGAAAGCCACGGCUAACUACGUUGCCAGCAGCCGCGGUAAUACGUAGGUGGCAAGCGUUGUCCGGAAUUAUUGGGCGUAAAGCGCGCGCAGGCGGAUAGGUCAGUCUGUCUUAAAAGUUCGGGGCUUAACCCCGUGAUGGGAUGGAAACUGCCAAUCUAGAGUAUCGGAGAGGAAAGUGGAAUUCCUAGUGUAGCGGUGAAAUGCGUAGAUAUUAGGAAGAACACCAGUGGCGAAGGCGACUUUCUGGACGAAAACUGACGCUGAGGCGCGAAAGCCAGGGGAGCGAACGGAUUAGAUACCCCGGUAGUCCUGGCCGUAAACGAUGGGUACUAGUGUAGACGUAUCACCCUC